This is a non-coding RNA of Caretta caretta (loggerhead turtle), 1223 nucleotides long. The record is from RefSeq and is a predicted model, not a curated record. Lineage: Eukaryota; Metazoa; Chordata; Testudines; Cheloniidae.
CUGGUGGAGAGAAGCAGUUUGUGGGACAGCUGGCAGAGCAGAGUGGAGGCCCAUGGAGAGGCGGAGCAGUCAGCUUUGGACCAUCCUCAAAGCCAUAUUUUUCAGUUCGUCUGAAGUGUAACAUAGUGACAAGAGGACUCCUGGCUCAAAGACAGUGGCUGGAAAGGGGAACGUCUCGGGAUGGAAUGUGACUCGCAGGGGAACGUCCAGGAGUCGUCUGAGAACUUUGCUUAUAUAUGUGCAUUAUCUGGAUGAAAAUAUCAAAUCAGAAAUAUCCAUCUGCCAAGAGACUUCCUCCGUUUAACAGAUACUAACAACAAAACCAAAGGGAGUGAAGGCCAAAAAUGCCGCAUUUCCUGACACAUCCUGCAACACAAGAAGAUCUCAUCAAAACGCUGCAGCGCCAGCAAAGUUUACACGUCAAUAGCAACACUCAGUCCUGAAUACGGUGGGGUAAUGAAUCUUCCCUCUUAAAUUACGCCAACAGAACAGUUCCUGGCAGCCUUAUCUAGACCGUGACAUCCUGCCUAUAGACGGGAAUCUGCAGGAGCACAAAAAACACGACUCGCCCAGCAGAAUAUACAAUACAACUCUCGGACCUGUGGGACUACUGAUUUACUGUCUAGCGCUAACCAAGGAAGAAAGCUCCCACGUAUCACCGAGUCUCUUUCUUAAACCUGAAAACCUUAAAUUGUUAGUUGCACAGAUCUGAGCAGCACGUACAAAAGGUCCAGCUGGCCAGAAUCAAGACAUUUUUAAAAGCAGUGACUAGUGUCAUGGACAGUGCGAGUCAGCAGUUUAAUUUAAUCAUAAUGUUUAGGCUCUAGUGAAGGGAACAUUAAUUGUCUUGGCACUUGUGGAAAAAAACAUGCGUCGAUUUUUUAAAAUAUUACGCGCAGCAGUGGGCGCUGUGUAGGUAAGACUGGAGGUUUCUUUCUUUUAUAAACUGGAUUUUCAACCCACGCCCUAGCCUAAGUUCCCUGGCGCAGCAGGCUAUUAAGGGCCGCGCAGGCUCGCAGCGGAGAGAAAUGCCUCUCCCCCAGCCCCACCGGAGCUGCUGCGGCACGGAAAGGCACCUCUCCCCUAGCCCCGGGCUGCUGCAGCGAGAGAGGGCUGGGGGGGAGUCCUCUCUCCCCACCACAACCCCGGGGCAGCCUGCACCCCAAAUCUCUCAUCCACGGCCCCACCUCAGAGCCCGCACCUCCAGCCAGAGCCCUCACACC